UUUUUUACAAAACACAUCAGUCAAAAUAGCCCUCACUGAUAAGUGAGAACACUAAACUCUCGAACCCUCUUCAUCACUCUUUAAGAACCCUAAACCCUAAGAACCCUAUCUCGUAGCCCUCUCUCAGCUUGCAACCCUCUUUCAGCUCAUAGACCUCCUCAUCAUUGAGAACCCAUCUUCAUCUCUCAGCUCGUAACCAUCUAUCCCUCUCUCGCAACCCUCGUUAACUUCAAUCGGUGUUGCCUCUGUCAGCGCACCCUCCAUCGGUGCGCCUUCCGUCGGCGCUCACUAUCUCUCGCACGAACCCUACCUUUGUCGACGUUGAUUCUCUCUUGCUCCUCCCUCAGUUGUCGUUGCCUCUCCCUCAAUCAUCGCUCCUUCCUCAAUCGAUGCUUAACCCUCAUCAUAACAUAAGAAGAGAUAUGAGAUACAAUGAUCUUAUAGGGUCACUUCCACCUUCAUAUAACUCACUGCCACAUUUAAAGUCGAUAUGUGAUAUUCUCAUUGAAUAGCAUAGACGAUUUCUCGAUAAAAUCUACUUCAAUUCAAGCAUUCACUUUGGAAUAUAUAGAGGUAGCCACCGAAAAGUAUAAAAUUUUGAUAGGUGAAGGAGGCUUUGGUUCUGUCUACCAUGACACCCUAGAAAUUGGUCAUGUUGUGGCUGUGAAGGCACUCGAGAAUUUGAUAAUGAGGUGCACAACUUUUGUUUCAAAUUUAAUUGCUAUAUCAAAGUUCCAAUAGCAUUGAUUCAAUGAUGUAUAAUAAAGUGACAGUGAUGAAAUUUGGCUACUAGCCAAUGAUUUCUAUCCAAAAUAAAAUUUGGCUACACCCAAUGAAACAAUGGAAAAAAUUGAAGCUGCUGCAACAAAUAUGAGGUUUUUCCCGUUGAGUUGUUAUUGAGAUUGUGAAUGUUUUGAAGUCAGUCUCUGCUGUAUGACAAUGAUGUAAUCAAAUUUUCUUUAUGAAUUAAUUAUAGAAAUUCUUUAAAACACAUGGCUUAUGAUUGCAAGGACCAUAGUUAUAUUUAAGCUUUUUGAGAAUAAUGAAUCAUUUUCUUUAUAUUUGAAGUCCACAUAUGUUUGUGUGUGUUUAAAGUUCACAUGUAUUUACAUGCAUAUGUAUAGAAGUCUCUGUCAUUUUGUUUUUGGUAUCUGUGUUAGUGUUGUGCUAGAUGGAUGGUAACCGAUAGCCCUGUAAUUAUGAGUUUCCACCCAUUAAAGUCCAAAAUGUUUAAGAAACAGUAGCUUGUUUGGAAUGCUAUGGAAUGGAGAUGGUUAGAGAUGAUGAGAAAGCCAUAAAAGGGUUGGUCAGAAACAGUCUCUGUGUGAAACUGUUGAUGAUUAUUGCCCAUCUUUUUCAAUCAUAAUCAUGUAUGAGGAUUUUUUCUAUUUGAUAAUAAUAAAGCCACGCUUUUAAAGCGUCGCAAUAGA
This is a long non-coding RNA of Arachis stenosperma, 1430 nucleotides long. RefSeq lists it as uncharacterized. The transcript is spliced from 3 exons. The record is from RefSeq and is a predicted model, not a curated record. Lineage: Eukaryota; Viridiplantae; Streptophyta; Magnoliopsida; Fabales; Fabaceae.